Molecule: long non-coding RNA, 2008 nt
Filed under: Homo sapiens (human)
Lineage: Eukaryota; Metazoa; Chordata; Mammalia; Primates; Hominidae
Description: HSALNT0330989
Source: RNAcentral
AUCGCGCCGCUGCACUCCAGCCUGGGCAACAAGAGCAAAACCCCAUUUCAAAAAAAAAAAAAGAAUUUUCUAACUCGAACCAUCAUUUCCCACUAAAUCGAACUCAAGAAGAAAUGUCUUCCCCCCAAGCCAGGACACCUGGAAGCCUGGAAAUGUGUUCUUGUGUCCCAAGAGUUCGGCCUGUCACUGAGACCCCACUGCUCUGAGCAAGGUGUUCCUGUCCUCACUCUACAGAUGAGGAGCCUGAGGCUCAGAGCAGGAACAUGACAUGGUCAGUAUCCUCCCAGCUGGGUAGAAGGGGACUGGUUGCAUACCCAAGCCAGGGGCCCAGAGCUGGCCUCUGUGGCAUCUGUGCCAGAGCCAGAGGAAGGCCUGCGUCUACUCCCCAGGGAGCCCAACUGAGCCCACGGGUGGCACAUGAGGACUGGCCUCCUGGACAAACAGAGCCCAGCACAUUAAGGUUUGGCUCAGGAGGACACACAUGUCCCUGCUGCCCAGGACCCCAGUUCUGCCCUAAAUCCUUCCCAACUUGGGAUCCCCCCACUCAGGUUCCUGCUGCAGCUCAUGUUACCCUGGGUGCUUCUGUGACUCCGCUGAUGCUCUGAGCCCAUAUGGCCCCAGCUCAAGGCAGCUGAGAAGUCCCGAAAGACCACAGAGCAACAGAGGCACCCAAAGGUUCAAAGCCCAUCAGUCAUGAUUCACUUGCACAGUUCAGUGUGGCAUCAUCAAGCCCCUGGCUGGCCAACCCCUCUGGUUCCCUGCUUGGGUUCCCAACCACUUGGCUGCUCCUGACCCCGCCCAGCACCAAGACAUGAAGACACCACAGUGAUCAGGGCCAAGAGAGGCAACUUCACCUACUGGGCCUACCCUGUGUCCCCGCUCUGUUCUUUUCCUCUAGGAGAAAUGUGCCUCCACCCAAGCAACUGACCCCAGGAAUAAUCAUAAUUAAUAAUAGUGGCGACUUCCCUUUAUUAAGCACUUGCCAUGUGCCAAGAACUCUUCUAAGUACUUGAUACACAUUAUCUCAUUUAAUCCUCAAAACAAUCCUAUAGGGCUAGUACUAUUAUUAGCUGAUUUUACACGUGAGAGAAGUAAGCACAGAGAAGUCGAAUAACAAGCUCAAGGCCACAUAGCUAGAUAGGCAGGAAGCCAGAUUAUGAGCCCAGAUGGUCUGGUUCCAGAACCUGACCCCUUAAUGAAUACCCUAUAACCUGUGAGUGAAUCCAGUCCCCACCACUGGGUUCAUCCAUCCACUCAUUCAUUCAGUAAACAUUUAUUGAGCACCUACUCUGUGCCGAGGACUUUCCAUGCAUUGCCUCAUUACAAGUUUUAUCACCUGUGAGGUAGAUAUUACUGUCAUUCCCACUUUACAGAUGAGGCAACUGAUGUUCAGAGAGGUUAAGUACAUGCACAAAGACACACAGCCAGCAAAUUGUUCAGCAGGGCAGGAGGAUGCAAGUGCUCAGCCUUCAGAAGGUGGCAUGGGCCAAAAUAUAGUAGACCUGCUGUGCCCAGCCAGGAGGCCUGGGCUCUGCCCUGCUCACAGAUGAUCUCUCUAUUUGGCAGAGGAGGUGGAGUGGCCGCAGAGGGCUGAAAUGACUUGCCCAGAGUCACCCAGCCAGAGAGUGGCAGAACCAGGACUCCAACCCAGGCUGUUGGGCCCCAUCUAAACCCUGUCUGCAUGGGAAGGGAUUUUUAGCAGAGAAGGGCUGCAAUCAGCUUAUGGGCAUGCAGGGGUGGUCCGGUGGGGGAGAUCCUGAGAAGGAUAAGGCCUUCCCAAGCCCACAUCUACUGACUGUUCACUGUGUGCCAGCCCCUUUUGAUCAGUGCAUCUAUUUCUCCAAAUGCCCUGUGACAUAGACUGUCAGCAGCUCCAUUUUACAAGUGUAGAAGCUGAGGCACAGAGAGGACAUAUAACCCUUAAGGUCACUCAGUUAGUAAGUAGCCAAGCCAGGAUUUCAGCCUGGGUUCUUAAGUGCCACCCAAUCCAUUAUUCCAGUUUUUCUUC